AUGCCAUGAUAAGGCACUUUCGUAAUAACUCCUUGAACUGCUCCUAUGCCUUAGAUAAACAUACUUUGUCAAGUUGCUGAAAUGAAGUAAUUUCAUUUCAGAUCUU
Gossypium raimondii (Peruvian cotton) is the source of this 106-nucleotide non-coding RNA. The record is from Rfam. Lineage: Eukaryota; Viridiplantae; Streptophyta; Magnoliopsida; Malvales; Malvaceae.